UGGGGAAUAUUGCACAAUGGGCGCAAGCCUGAUGCAGCCAUGCCGCGUGUAUGAAGAAGGCCUUCGGGUUGUAAAGUACUUUCAGCGGGGAGGAAGGCGUAAGUCUGAACAGGGCUUACGAUUGACGUUACCCGCAGAAGAAGCACCGGCUAACUCCGUGCCAG
RNAcentral lists this ribosomal RNA (164 nucleotides) under uncultured bacterium. RNAcentral's name for it is "partial 16S ribosomal RNA". It matches the Rfam family "Bacterial small subunit ribosomal RNA", at positions 355 to 511 of the family's 1533-position model. The record is from RNAcentral.